Small nucleolar RNA from Lates calcarifer (barramundi perch), 130 nucleotides. Lineage: Eukaryota; Metazoa; Chordata; Actinopteri; Centropomidae. The record is from Ensembl.
GACCCCAUCUUCACUUUGCCACAAGGAUUCUUUAUGUCCUCAGUGGUCAUUCAUGUGGGGAAAAGUAUUUCAUCCUUAUACACCCCAGUCCAACUCCUGUUUGUCCUGGGGUUGUAUUGAGGAAACAGCA